Ooceraea biroi (clonal raider ant) is the source of this 936-nucleotide long non-coding RNA. RefSeq lists it as uncharacterized. NCBI's taxonomy places the organism in Eukaryota, Metazoa, Arthropoda, Insecta, Hymenoptera, Formicidae. The record is from RefSeq and is a predicted model, not a curated record.
CGAUAAGUUUGUUCCCUCGCGCAAUCGUCCAGUUUUAAAACCGAAGUGGUUCAGCACACUACCGACCGGCCGGAUUAAGUAAAUCGGAUUUAAUUAAGUUAUUGCACGGGACUAAAAUAAUCAUAAAAUAACUUUCGUGUCGCCUGUGAUCUGAAAUGAAACGGCUAUAUAUGUAUACAAGGUGACGGCCGAAGAAUUGAUGGAGCCGACGCAGAGAAAUCGGAAGAACUUUUGCAGACUUCGCUAAAACGCUAAAUUCGUCUGAAACAUUGUCACGAACCACCAACACUAUCAUACGGAAAAAUUGAUAUGGAAAACUAAAACAGCUCGUGAAAAGAACAUGAUGACAACUGCAAAACAAGGAUAAGACUGCGAAAUAUCGGAAAACCAAGAGGAAGGUGCGCGUAUGCGGUUACGAGCGUGAGAAAUAUGAAAUUUCACGGCGUUGCCGUCGAGAAGGGGUCACGUCCAUCCGAAAGGUGGCUUCUCUCGCGAAACCACUUCUUAUAAUCUCACUGGAAAUUCACCGGCAUAUCUGUCGCGCAAUUCUCUUCUGAUAAUAGAGAAAGUAGCAGCACGAACGAUAAACAUGAACACGAUAUGCGAAAUAAUGAAGGAAAAGUGCAUAUUCUGCGGAGAAUUAUCCCGUCUCUCAAAUAAAUGAAAUGUCAAAAAAUUAAUUAGUUCUGUAUAUUUCAUUAAAACUACAUAAGUUCAUUUCUGAAAAUUUCCGAUAUUUUUUAGGAAAGAAAACUUAUCAUGAAUGAUAAUAAUGACCAUAAUAAUAAUAACAGAAAUAAAUAGUUGUUUGAUUAAUAGCUACAAUAAUACCAAAUACCCUUGAGAACGCUAUCCAUACUUGCAGUUAAUACAAUCUUGUGUUAUCGUUGUUGCUCUGGAAUCGAUACUACGCAUUGUGAAAUAAUUCAUGAUAUA